This 72-nucleotide transfer RNA is filed under the name Phrynosoma platyrhinos (Desert horned lizard). Its description in RNAcentral is "tRNA-OTHER". Lineage: Eukaryota; Metazoa; Chordata; Lepidosauria; Squamata; Phrynosomatidae. The record is from RNAcentral.
GCCAGUGUGGCAUAAUGUUUUCAGUGUUGGACUAUGACUCUGGAGACCAGGGUUCAAAUCCCAGCUCAGCCA